CUGAGUACGGCGGAACACGUGAAAUUCCGUCGGAAUCCGGGAGGACCAUCUCCCAAGGCUAAAUACUCCCUAGUGACCGAUAGUGAACCAGUACCGUGAGGGAAAGGUGAAAAGCACCCCGGAAGGGGAGUGAAACAGUUCCUGAAACCGUGUGCCUACAAGUAGUUAGAGCCCGUUAAUGGGUGAUAGCGUGCCUUUUGUAGAAUGAACCGGCGAGUUACGAUUUGUUGCAAGGUUAAGCGGAAAAAGCGGAGCCGUAGCGAAAGCGAGUCUGAAUAGGGCGCAUAAGUAACAGGUCGUAGACCCGAAACCAGGUGAUCUACCCAUGUCCAGGAUGAAGGUAAGGUAAUACUUACUGGAGGUCCGAACCCACGCACGUUGAAAAGUGCGGGGAUGAGGUGUGGGUAGCGGAGAAAUUCCAAUCGAACUUGGAGAUAGCUGGUUCUCUCCGAAAUAGCUUUAGGGCUAGCCUCGAGGUAAAGAGUCAUGGAGGUAGAGCACUGUUUGGACUAGGGGCCCUUCUCGGGUUACCGAAUUCAGAUAAACUCCGAAUGCCAUGUACUUAUACUCGGGAGUCAGACUGCGAGUGAUAAGAUCCGUAGUCGAAAGGGAAACAGCCCAGACCACCAGUUAAGGUCCCCAAAUAUAUGUUAAGUGGAAAAGGAUGUGGGGUUGCUUAGACAACCAGGAUGUUGGCUUAGAAGCAGCCACCAUUGAAAGAGUGCGUAAUAGCUCACUGGUCGAGUGACCCCGCGCCGAAAAUGUACCGGGGCUAAACAUAUUACCGAAACUGUGGAUGAACCUCUUUAGAGGUUCGUGGUAGGAGAGCGUUCUAAGGGCGGUGAAGUCAGACCGGAAGGACUGGUGGAGCGCUUAGAAGUGAGAAUGCCGGUAUGAGUAGCGAAAGAAGGGUGAGAAUCCCUUCCACCGAAUAUCUAAGGUUUCCUGAGGAAGGCUCGUCCGCUCAGGGUUAGUCGGGACCUAAGCCGAGGCCGAUAGGCGUAGGCGAUGGACAACAGGUAGAGAUUCCUGUACCAGUGCUAAUUGUUUAACCGAUGGGGUGACACAGAAGGAUAGGGAAUCGCACGAAUGGAAAUGUGCGUCCAAGCAGUGAGUGUGAGAAGUAGGCAAAUCCGCUUCUCGCGAAGCAUGAGCUGUGAUGGGGAAGGAAAUUAAGUACGGAAGUUCCUGAUUUCACGCUGUCAAGAAAAGCCUCUAGGAAGAGUAGUACUGCCCGUACCGCAAACCGACACAGGUAGAUGAGGAGAGAAUCCUAAGGUGAGCGAGAGAACUCUCGUUAAGGAACUCGGCAAAAUGACCCCGUAACUUCGGGAGAAGGGGUGCUCUAUUAGGGUGCAAGCCCGAGAGAGCCGCAGUGAAUAGGCCCAGGCGACUGUUUAGCAAAAACACAGGUCUCUGCAAAACCGUAAGGUGACGUAUAGGGGCUGACGCCUGCCCGGUGCUGGAAGGUUAAGAGGAGUGCUUAGCUUCGGCGAAGGUACGAAUUGAAGCCCCAGUAAACGGCGGCCGUAACUAUAACGGUCCUAAGGUAGCGAAAUUCCUUGUCGGGUAAGUUCCGACCCGCACGAAAGGCGCAACGAUCUGGGCACUGUCUCAACGAGAGACUCGGUGAAAUUAUAGUACCUGUGAAGAUGCAGGUUACCCGCGACAGGACGGAAAGACCCCGUGGAGCUUUACUGCAACCUGAUAUGGAAUGUUUGUACCGCUUGUACAGGAUAGGUAGGAGCCGAAGAGACGUGUGCGCUAGCAUACGAGGAGGCAAUGGUGGGAUACUACCCUGGCUGUAUGACCAUUCUAACCCGCCACGCUUAGCGCGUGGGGAGACAGUGUCAGGUGGGCAGUUUGACUGGGGCGGUCGCCUCCUAAAGAGUAACGGAGGCGCCCAAAGGUUCCCUCAGAAUGGAUGGAAAUCAUUCGCAGAGUGUAAAGGCACAAGGGAGCUUGACUGCGAGACUGACAAGUCGAGCAGGGACGAAAGUCGGGCUUAGUGAUCCGGUGGUUCCGCAUGGAAGGGCCAUCGCUCAACGGAUAAAAGCUACCCCGGGGAUAACAGGCUUAUCUCCCCCAAGAGUCCACAUCGACGGGGAGGUUUGGCACCUCGAUGUCGGCUCGUCGCAU
This 2139-nucleotide ribosomal RNA is filed under the name Listeria monocytogenes. RNAcentral describes it as "partial 23S ribosomal RNA". It matches the Rfam family "Bacterial large subunit ribosomal RNA", at positions 408 to 2545 of the family's 2925-position model. The record is from RNAcentral. Lineage: Bacteria; Bacillati; Bacillota; Bacilli; Caryophanales; Listeriaceae.